This 497-nucleotide ribosomal RNA is filed under the name uncultured bacterium. RNAcentral's name for it is "partial 16S ribosomal RNA". It matches the Rfam family "Bacterial small subunit ribosomal RNA", at positions 28 to 507 of the family's 1533-position model. The record is from RNAcentral.
GAUGAACGCUGGCGGCGUGCCUAAUACAUGCAAGUCGAGCGAACAGACGAGGAGCUUGCUCCUCUGACGUUAGCGGCGGACGGGUGAGUAACACGUGGAUAACCUACCUAUAAGACUGGGAUAACUUCGGGAAACCGGAGCUAAUACCGGAUAAUAUAUUGAACCGCAUGGUUCAAUAGUGAAAGACGGUUUUGCUGUCACUUAUAGAUGGAUCCGCGCCGCAUUAGCUAGUUGGUAAGGUAACGGCUUACCAAGGCGACGAUGCGUAGCCGACCUGAGAGGGUGAUCGGCCACACUGGAACUGAGACACGGUCCAGACUCCGACGGGAGGCAGCAGUGGGGAAUCUUCCGCAAAGGGCGAAAGCCUGACGGAGCAACGCCGCGUGAGUGAUGAAGGUCUUCGGAUCGUAAAACUCUGUUAUUAGGGAAGAAAAAAUGUGUAAGUAACUAUGCACGUCUUGACGGUACCUAAUCAAAAAGCCACGGCUAACUACGUG